GGAUCAGGGAGAGGUGAGGGUUGUGGUAAACCAGAGGACACCUGCCCUAUCUAAAGGAAGCAAGAACUACUCAGCUCUUGUUGAGGUGAACAUAGCAACUCAGAGAUUCUGGAUCUUCGAAUUUUUCCCAACAUGCUAGAAAUCUGGAUUUAUUUUAAAAGUAAGUUUUUCUCCAUUUGAAAACACAGUGCUGGCCAGACAACAUAUCUCUGGGUUGCCGGGACCAACCUUGGGACGUGGCUGGGGACUGAAAUGGACUCUAGAGGUUGGAAGCUGAGAUCUCUGGAACAAGAAUUGGGAACAACGACAACAUUCUGAGCUUCCCAGAAGGUAACAACUAUGGGGAUUUUUG
RNAcentral lists this long non-coding RNA (352 nucleotides) under Camelus dromedarius (Arabian camel). RNAcentral describes it as "lncRNA (ENSCDRG00005000659.1)". Lineage: Eukaryota; Metazoa; Chordata; Mammalia; Artiodactyla; Camelidae. The record is from RNAcentral.